Molecule: unclassified non-coding RNA, 178 nt
Filed under: rhizosphere metagenome
Description: partial ribosomal RNA internal transcribed spacer region
Source: RNAcentral
AAUGAAGCCGGGAAACCGGUCCUUCUAACCCAUGAUUAUAAUAAUUUGUUGCUUUGGUGGGCCGCGCAAGCACCGGCUUCGGCUGGAUCGUGCCCGCCAGAGGACUACAACUCUGUAUCAAAUGUCGUCUGAGUACUAUAAAAUAGUUAAAACUUUCAACGACGGAUCUCUUGGUUCU